AAGUAUUAAAGGUAUCGCCUGCCCAGUGAAAAUUUUUAACGGCCGCGGUAUUCUAACCGUGCAAAGGUAGCGUAAUCACUUGUCUCCUAAAUAGAGACCAGUAUGAACGGCUAAAUGAGGACAAACCUGUCUCUUAUAACUAAUCAGUGAAACUGAUCUCCCAGUACAAAAGCUGGGAUCAACACAUAAGACGAGAAGACCCCGUGGAGCUUAAAACAAACCACCAAUUUUAAUCGGUGCACUGUUUUGAGUUGGGGCGACUUCGGAACACAACAAAACUUCCGAGCACAGAACCACCAAUCUCUAACCGAGGCCAACAAGCCUAAGUGUUAACAAGACCCGGCUACACGCCGAUCAACGAACCAAGUUACCCCGGGGAUAACAGCGCUAUCUUCUUCAAGAGUCCCUAUCAACAAGAAGGUUUACGACCUCGAUGUUGGAUCAGGACACCCAAAUGGUGCAGCCGCUAUUAAAGGUUCGUUUGUUCAACGAUUAACAGUCCUACGUGAUCUGAGUUCAGACCGGAG
RNAcentral lists this ribosomal RNA (527 nucleotides) under Trachylepis quinquetaeniata (African five-lined skink). RNAcentral describes it as "partial 16S ribosomal RNA". It matches the Rfam family "Bacterial large subunit ribosomal RNA", at positions 1841 to 2621 of the family's 2925-position model. The record is from RNAcentral. Lineage: Eukaryota; Metazoa; Chordata; Lepidosauria; Squamata; Scincidae.